This is a non-coding RNA of Cinara cedri, 239 nucleotides long. The record is from the annotation of a GenBank genome assembly. Lineage: Eukaryota; Metazoa; Arthropoda; Insecta; Hemiptera; Aphididae.
AAAAUUACUACUUAUUAAUUUGAAUAAUUGUUGUACUACUUGUUAUAGGUAAAAAUGUCCGGCUCGUACACUUUAGAUAUAGCUAGAUAAUAAGAAUCAACCAAGUUAACAAGAACGGGUUUUACUUUAACAUUUAUAAUGAUAUUUAACAUUUCUAUUGAUUUUACUUUUGAUUAGGUAAAUCCAUCCGAUAUUAUGAAGAGUUGUACAGUUUGUACAAUUUUAUUUUUACAUUGUGU